ACACAUGAGGGAGUGAGGAAAUGAGACACAUGGAAGGGAUGGGGGAAUGAGACACAUGGGGAGCUGGAGGACUGAGACACAUGGGGAGUGGGGGAAUGAGACACAUGUGGGGCUGGGGGAAUUAGGCAAAUGAGGUGGUGGGAGAAUGAGACACAUGGGGGCUGGGAUAAUUAGACACUUCUGAGGACUAGGGGAAUGAGACAUAUGGAAGGGAUGGGGGAAUUGUGACACAUGGGGGGCUGGGGGACUGAGACACAUGGGAAGUGGAGGAAUGAGGUACAUGUGGGGCUGAGGGAAUGAGACUCAUGGUGGGGAGAAAAUGAGACACAUGGAAUGGAGGGGCUGCAGGGAACAAAAAUAGACAUAGAGAAGCUGGGGGUGAAAGAGACAAGGUGCCGGGGGAAAGAGACACACAGAAGGACUGAGAAGUGGGGGAAGAGACACACAAAAGAGGCUGGAGAGAGAAUGAAAAACACAGAGGGGCUGGGGGUACAAAAGGACACAGAGAGGCUGAGGAGGGGAAGUAACAGACCGACAGGGGCUGGGUAAGGGGUAGAAAAGACAAGCAUGGCCUGAAGGUGCAACACACGGACAAAGAGAUACAGAGAGGCUGUGGAGAGAUAGAGGCAAGGUGCUGGGGGAAAGAGACAAAGAAGGGAUGGGAGGAAGAGAUACACAAAAGGGACUGAGGGGAGAAAGAGACAUGGGGAAAGAAGAAAUAAAUACACAAAAGGGGCUAGGGGGAAGAGGUACACAGAGAGGAUGGGGAAAGGGAGAAAGAAACACAAAGGGGCUGGAGGAUGGGAAGUGACACACAGAAAGGCUGACACCCAAAGGGUGUUUAGGGUAUGACAAAGAGACACAGAUAAGCUGUGGGGAGAAAGAGACAUGGUGCUGGGAGAAGUGACACACAGAGGGGGUGGGGGGGAAAGAGACAGAGGAGAUGAGGAAGAGGAGAAAGAGACACACAAAGGAGAUGGGAAAGAAGGAGACACACAAAAGGGUUGGGGUAGAAAGAAACACACAAAGAAUCUGGAGGAAGGAAGAAACACACAAAAGGGUUGAGUGGAGAAAAAGACGCACAAAGAGGCUGGGUGGAGAAAGAGACACACAAAGGGGCUGGGUGGAGAAAGAGACACACAAAGGGGCUGGAGUAAAAGAUACAUAAAUGGGCUGGAGGGGAGUAAGAGACACACAAAGGGACUGGAGGGAAGUAAAAGAAACACAAAAGGGGUGCUAGGGGAAAGAGACACACAGAGGGACUGUGAAGUGGGGGAAGAGACACACCAAAGGUGCUGGAGAGAGAAAGAGACACACAGAGGGGCUCGGGGUACAAAAGGACACAGAGAGGCUGAGGAAGGGGAAAAAGAGACAGCCAAGGGCUGGGUAAGGGUAGAAGAGACAAGUAUGGCCUGGGGGUGCGACACACCCAGAGGUUUUUCAGGGACAAAGAGACACAGAGAGGCUGUGGAGAGAUAGAGACAAGGUGCUGGGGGAAGUGACACACAGAGGGGCUGGGGGAAAAGAGACACAGAGGGGAUGGGAGGAAGAGAUACACAAAAUGGGCUGAGGGGAGAAAGAGGGAUGGGGAUGGGGAAAGGGAGAAAUAAAUACACAAAAGGGGCUAGGGGGAAGAGGUACACAGAGAGGAUGGGGAUAGCGAGAAAGAAACACAAAGGGGCUGGAGAAUGGGAAGUGACACACAGAAAGGCUGACACCCAAAGGGUG
RNAcentral lists this long non-coding RNA (1728 nucleotides) under Pelobates cultripes (western spadefoot toad). The record is from RNAcentral. Lineage: Eukaryota; Metazoa; Chordata; Amphibia; Anura; Pelobatidae.